GACAGUCAAAAUUAUGUUAAUGAAGAUAAGAAAAGAGUAAGAAGCAUUGUAAAUGUUAAGAAAAAACUCAAAAGAAGGAAAAUACCUUACUUCCAUGUUGUAGGAUUCCUUGAAUGGAAUGAAAAAGCUGCUUGUGGGAAUAAUGAUUGCUUUAUCUUUAAUAUUUUCCACCUCCUCCUCUGUGGCUUUAGCGUCUCUUUGCUAUAACCCGCUUGAUUUUGAUUCCAGCCAUAUUCCAGCUGUAUUCCAGCCAUUUUCUGUGGACACGUGGCACCAGCAUAACCUGGACCGGAAAUCCUCUUGGAGCCAGUUCGGGGGAGUCCGUCGUUAAACGGGGCAUGUCAGGACGUGGUGGAGUGGUACACAAGGAUGACAUAUAGAAAAUCUAGAAACAUAAAGUGAUAUUUAUUGUAGAUACAUUUUUGUAUAAAUAUGUUGUAAA
Saccostrea cuccullata (small rock oyster) is the source of this 442-nucleotide long non-coding RNA. RefSeq lists it as uncharacterized. The record is from RefSeq and is a predicted model, not a curated record. Lineage: Eukaryota; Metazoa; Mollusca; Bivalvia; Ostreida; Ostreidae. The transcript is spliced from 3 exons.